UUGAUUACGUCCCUGCCCUUUGUACACACCGCCCGUCGCUACUACCGAUUGGAUGACUUAGUGAGGUCUUAGGACCGGAGUGACGGAGCUUUAUUCUUUCGCUUUGGAAAUUUGAUCGAACUACGUUAUCUAGAGGAAGUAAAAGUCGUAACAAGGUUUCCGUAGGUGAACCUGCGGAAGGAUCAUUAACGAGCUAAUAUAAAAAGCGAAUGAUCAUAGAGAUUCGACGCAGGAUCGUCUGUUGUUGUUUCUCUCUAGAUUGUACGUAUAUCCACCCCAGUUGGUUAAACGCGGUAGGCGCUAUUAGCGCAAAGUCCGUCUCUGGUGGUUGGAAAAAUAGAAAUAAGGGAAAUCUUUAUGAGAGAUCCUCGUUAUAAAUCGAACUGAAAGAUCGCCAUUUCUUAGUUUCGCUCUCUGUCAUAGACGCGGGUGCGUUGGUUGUAGUGCGCUCAGAAUGCCUACCCACCACUCGUGAUAUGCGUUGCGAUAAGAGAGUGGCGCGGUAGCGAGUGCCUUUGAAGCUAAGAAACAAAAGGGCGAUUCGAUCACGUCGGUUUUAUAUGAGAUUCUCAAGGAGAGAAUACCUUAUAGACUGUUAUAUCAGACGUUUGGAACGAAGUAUUAUUUCGAGUGAGUAGUGGUGAAAUGCACGUUAUAAUGUGCCCACUCAGGCUCGUAUAUGCUGAGUUCUCCUUUGGGUACCUAUCGAGGCUAUCGCUACAGUUUCGUCUGGCUGUAGGACAGGCGCGUUAGUCCUCGGAACCCUAUAUGCGGAUCGUUCGAUUCUAGUUUUUACUAGUCGACGUAUGCAGUAGGUGAGGUUUAAAGAGUCGUUGACCUUCACAAGGAAGCUUGGUGGUUUAAGAAACCAAAGGGAAAAUAAUUCCGAGUGAGGUGGCUACGUCAGAACCUAGUAAAGGGAAGAGACCAGCGUUAUAAUGGUAAUGAAAAGUGAACGUCCUAUUUUCAUAGCCAUUAUGGAAUAUAAUCGCUGAACACUCUUAGGGAACUGACUAGUUCGGGACGCUGAAGGUAAAGCUUAUAGUAGGCGUCCGGGCGACCGCCCGAAAUCAAACCAAUACUUUAUACGAAAUAUAAAUCGAAGCUCUAAUGAAUGUAAUAGAGCGGAGAAAAUAAAAACGAAUCCUAGAGAUUCCAUUCUAAGCGGUGGAUCACUAGGCUCGCGGGUCGAUGAAGAACGGGGCCAGCCCCGAGAAUAAGUGCGAAUUGCAGACACAAAGAGCAUCGACUUUUCGAACGCAUAUUGCGGUAUCGGGCCUGCUCGAUACCACGCCUAUCUGAGGGUCGAAUAAGAACGUAUGGAAUCGUUUGUUUCCCACCUCUGCUGUUCUAAGUAAAAGGUAUAGAACUAUACGAGGGGAAACGAUGGAAAUGACUUGAGACUUGUGACAGUCGUUAAGUCUGAAGGUAAUAGAGAGAGAAAGUGAACUCUCUAUUUACCAGUAGAAAAGAAUUUAUAGACUCAGUCGCUAUAAAUCGCUUGAGAGAAAACUGAGCGAUUGAAAGAAAGAGUUAUAGCGAUUUGAGUUUAUAUAUAAUUCAAAAUCUAAAUCAGACCCGACGCUCGUUGUAGCUGCGAAUCAGCCAUUCGUCUUUCAAAGGUUUCUUUGGAGAUGGGAAUAUAGAGAAAUGGUACUGAUCGCAAUUGACGCUACGGAAUAUAUAUAAGAGUGUCUAUAGGGUCUUUCAUAUUCUGACCUCAGAUUAGACGUGACAACCCGCUGAAUUUAAGCAUAUAACUAGGCGGAGGAAAAGAAAUUAACGAAGAUUUCCUUAGUAACGGCGAGUGAA
Molecule: unclassified non-coding RNA, 1812 nt
Filed under: Paralongidorus sp. FL-2016
Lineage: Eukaryota; Metazoa; Nematoda; Enoplea; Dorylaimida; Longidoridae
Description: sequence contains 18S rRNA gene, ITS1, 5.8S rRNA gene, ITS2 and 28S rRNA gene
Rfam family: Eukaryotic small subunit ribosomal RNA (bases 1-188)
Source: RNAcentral